RNAcentral lists this ribosomal RNA (492 nucleotides) under uncultured bacterium. RNAcentral describes it as "partial 16S ribosomal RNA". It matches the Rfam family "Bacterial small subunit ribosomal RNA", at positions 29 to 507 of the family's 1533-position model. The record is from RNAcentral.
AGUGAACGCUGGCGGUAGGCCUAACACAUGCAAGUCGAACGGCAGCACAGUAAGAGCUUGCUCUUACGGGUGGCGAGUGGCGGACGGGUGAGGAAUACAUCGGAAUCUACUUUUUCGUGGGGGAUAACGUAGGGAAACUUACGCUAAUACCGCAUACGACCUACGGGUGAAAGCAGGGGAUCUUCGGACCUUGCGCGAUUGAAUGAGCCGAUGUCGGAUUAGCUAGUUGGCGGGGUAAAGGCCCACCAAGGCGACGAUCCGUAGCUGGUCUGAGAGGAUGAUCAGCCCCACUGGAACUUAGACACGGUCCAGACUCCUACGGGAGGGAGCAGUGGGGAAUAUUGGACAAUGGGCGCAAGCCUGAUCCAGCCAUACCGCGUGGGUGAAGAAGGCCUUCGGGUUGUAAAGCCCUUUUGUUGGGAAAGAAAAGCAGCAGGUUAAUACCCCGCUGUUCUGACGGUACCCAAAGAAUAAGCACCGGCUAACUUCGUG